Molecule: ribosomal RNA, 74 nt
Filed under: Larimichthys crocea (large yellow croaker)
Lineage: Eukaryota; Metazoa; Chordata; Actinopteri; Sciaenidae
Description: partial 18S ribosomal RNA
Rfam family: Eukaryotic small subunit ribosomal RNA
Source: RNAcentral
GAUUUCCCAUGAACGAGGAAUUCCCAGUAAGCGCGGGUCAUAAGCUCGCGUUGAUUAAGUCCCUGCCCUUUGUA